CCUACGGGAGACAGCAGUAGGGAAUUUUCGUCAAUGGGCGCAAGCCUGAACGAGCAAUGCCGCGUGAACGAGGAAGGUCUUCGGAUCGUAAAGUUCUGUUGAAGGGGAAAAAGAGCGGAGAGAGGAAAUGGUCUCCGAUUGAUAUUACCCUUCGAGGAAGUCACGGCUAACUACGUGCCAGCAGCCGCGGUAAUACGUAGGUGGCGAGCGUUAUCCGGAAUGAUUGGGCGUAAGGGGUGCGUAGGCGGCCUGCUAAGUCUGGCGUGAAAGGUCCCGGCUCAACCGGUAUAGGCUCUGGAAACUGGCGGGCUAGAGAGCAGGAGAGGGCGGUGGAACUCCAUGUGUAGCGGUAAAAUGCGUAGAUAUAUGGAAGAACACCAGUGGCGAAGGCGGCCGCCUGGCCUGUUACUGACGCUGAGGCACGAAAGCGUGGGGAGCAAAUAGGAUUAGAUACCCUGGUAGUC
Molecule: ribosomal RNA, 464 nt
Filed under: uncultured bacterium
Lineage: Bacteria
Description: partial 16S ribosomal RNA
Rfam family: Bacterial small subunit ribosomal RNA
Source: RNAcentral